AGAGUUUGAUCCUGGCUCAGGAUGAACGCUAGCGGCAGGCUUAACACAUGCAAGUCGAAGGGCAGCGAGGGGAGUGCUUGCACUCCCUGUCGGCGACCGGCGCACGGGUGAGUAACACGUAUGCAACCUGCCCUUGUCAGGGGGACAACCCAGCGAAAGUUGGGCUAAUCCCGCGUAUAUCCCAAGGGGGCAUCCCCUUGGGAGGAAAGCUUAGGCGGACAAGGAUGGGCAUGCGGCGCAUUAGGCAGUAGGCGGGGUAACGGCCCACCUAACCGACGAUGCGUAGGGGUUCUGAGAGGAAGGCCCCCCACACUGGUACUGAGACACGGACCAGACUCCUACGGGAGGCAGCAGUGAGGAAUAUUGGUCAAUGGCCGAGAGGCUGAACCAGCCAAGCCGCGUGAGGGAAGAAGGCCCUACGGGUCGUAAACCUCUUUUGUCAGGGAACAAAAACCGGUACGUGUACCGGGUUGAGUGUACCUGAAGAAAAAGCAUCGGCUAACUCCGUGCCAGCAGCCGCGGUAAUACGGAGGAUGCGAGCGUUAUCCGGAUUUAUUGGGUUUAAAGGGUGCGUAGGCGGACUGGAAAGUCAGCGGUAAAAUCGAGAGGCUCAACCUCUUUCCGCCGUUGAAACUGUCGGUCUUGAGUGGGCGAGAAGUAUGCGGAAUGCGUGGUGUAGCGGUGAAAUGCAUAGAUAUCACGCAGAACUCCGAUUGCGAAGGCAGCAUACCGGCGCCCGACUGACGCUGAGGCACGAAAGCGUGGGUAUCGAACAGGAUUAGAUACCCUGGUAGUCCACGCAGUAAACGAUGAAUACUAAUUGUCCGGUCAGAAUGAUGGCUGGGUGAUACAGCGAAAGCGUUAAGUAUUCCACCUGGGGAGUACGCCGGCAACGGUGAAACUCAAAGGAAUUGACGGGGGCCCGCACAAGCGGAGGAACAUGUGGUUUAAUUCGAUGAUACGCGAGGAACCUUACCCGGGCUCAAACGCCGAAGGGACAUUCCCCGAAAGGGGAUUGGCCAGCAAUGGUCUUCGGCGAGGUGCUGCAUGGUUGUCGUCAGCUCGUGCCGUGAGGUGUCGGCUUAAGUGCCAUAACGAGCGCAACCCCCACCGACAGUUGCUAACAGGUAAAGCUGAGGACUCUGUGGAGACUGCCGGCGCAAGCUGUGAGGAAGGCGGGGAUGACGUCAAAUCAGCACGGCCCUUACGUCCGGGGCGACACACGUGUUACAAUGGCAGGUACAGCGGGAAGCCAUAUGGCGACAUAGAGCGGAACCCGAAAACCUGUCUCAGUUCGGAUUGGAGUCUGCAACUCGACUCCAUGAAGCUGGAUUCGCUAGUAAUCGCGCAUCAGCCACGGCGCGGUGAAUACGUUCCCGGGCCUUGCACUCACCGCCCGUCA
This 1402-nucleotide ribosomal RNA is filed under the name uncultured bacterium. Its description in RNAcentral is "16S ribosomal RNA". It matches the Rfam family "Bacterial small subunit ribosomal RNA". The record is from RNAcentral.